Molecule: long non-coding RNA, 161 nt
Organism: Etheostoma spectabile (orangethroat darter)
Lineage: Eukaryota; Metazoa; Chordata; Actinopteri; Perciformes; Percidae
Exons: 3
Source: RefSeq, a predicted model, not a curated record
GCCAAGCCAUUUGAUUAUAUUUAUAAUGUGUAUUAUUUGCUAGUGUCCGGGUUCCUAUACACAAGCUUUAAAUAGCUUACCAGGGUGUCCCCUUGCACACAUCAUGCAUCAUGUCUUAUGAUUGUACUUGUCUUUUAACUUUUGUGAAUACAUUUGAACAU